Molecule: ribosomal RNA, 511 nt
Filed under: Seepiophila jonesi
Lineage: Eukaryota; Metazoa; Annelida; Polychaeta; Sabellida; Siboglinidae
Description: partial 16S ribosomal RNA
Rfam family: Bacterial large subunit ribosomal RNA
Source: RNAcentral
UGCCUUUCGACUUUACUAUGGAAGGUUCAUCCUGCCCAAUGACUCUUAGUUCAAUGGCCGCGGUAUCUUGACCGUGCAAAGGUAGCAUAAUCACUUGCCCCUUAAUUAGGGGCUGGCAUGAAAGGACACACGAAAGCUUCCCUGUCUCACAAUAAUAAAUAAAAAUUAAUCUUUAAGUGAAAAAGCUUAAAUAAAAUUGCAGGACAAGAAGACCCCGUUGAGCUUUAUUCUCUAUAGACCAAUCUAAAUAUUUAUUAUAUCAUAAACCUAAAAAAGAAUUUAGUUGGGGUGACUAAGGAACAUCAUAAACUUCCUCUAUCUAUUUAGGGCUAUUCCCCAAAAAAAUUGACCCACAAACCGUGAUCAAAAAAAUAAGCUACCACAGGGAUAACAGGCUAAUCUUUCUUAAGAGCCCAAAUUGUCAGAAAGGAUUGGCACCUCGAUGUUGGCUUAGGGGCCCCUAAUGGUGCAGAAGCCAUAAAAGGUAGGUUUGUUCAACCUUUAAAACCCU